RNAcentral lists this ribosomal RNA (288 nucleotides) under Salmonella enterica subsp. enterica serovar Kentucky str. 29439. RNAcentral's name for it is "partial 23S ribosomal RNA". It matches the Rfam family "Bacterial large subunit ribosomal RNA", at positions 2645 to 2925 of the family's 2925-position model. Lineage: Bacteria; Pseudomonadati; Pseudomonadota; Gammaproteobacteria; Enterobacterales; Enterobacteriaceae. The record is from RNAcentral.
CCGUGGGCGCUGGAGAACUGAGGGGGGCUGCUCCUAGUACGAGAGGACCGGAGUGGACGCAUCACUGGUGUUCGGGUUGUCAUGCCAAUGGCACUGCCCGGUAGCUAAAUGCGGAAGAGAUAAGUGCUGAAAGCAUCUAAGCACGAAACUUGCCCCGAGAUGAGUUCUCCCUGAGACUUAGAGUCUCCUGAAGGAACGUUGAAGACGACGACGUUGAUAGGCCGGGUGUGUAAGCGCAGCGAUGCGUUGAGCUAACCGGUACUAAUGAACCGUGAGGCUUAACCUUAC